RNAcentral lists this ribosomal RNA (232 nucleotides) under uncultured bacterium. RNAcentral describes it as "partial 16S ribosomal RNA". It matches the Rfam family "Bacterial small subunit ribosomal RNA", at positions 99 to 334 of the family's 1533-position model. The record is from RNAcentral.
CGGACGGGUGAGUAAUGUAUGGGGAUCUGCCUGAUGGCGGGGGAUAACUACUGGAAACGGUAGCUAAUACCGCAUAAUGUCUGCGGACCAAAGCGGGGGACCUCCGGGCCUCGCGCCAUCAGAUGAACCCGUAUGGGAUUAGCUAGUAGGUAAGGUAACGGCUUACCUAGGCGACGAUCCCUAGCUGGUCUGAGAGGAUGAUCAGCCACACUGGGACUGAGACACGGCCCAG